AAAAAAGACAAAAAAGACAAAAAAGACAAAAAAGACAAAAAAAAACAAAAAAGACAAAAAAGACAAAAAAGACAAAAAAAGACAAAAAAAGACAAAAAAGACACUAAAGACCAAAAUGACGACAAUGACGAAAAAGACUAAACAGACAAAAAUAACCCAUAACUGACCCAUAAAUGACACAAAAAUGACUUAAAUGUGACACAAAAAUGACACAAAAAUAACACAAAAAUUUCACAAAAAUUACACAAAUGACUUAAAAAUUACUCAUAAAUGACACAAAAAUGAAACAAAUAUGACACGAAAAUGUCACAAAAAUGACACGAAAACUUCAGAAAAAUGACACAAAAAUGACACAAAAAUUACACAAAAUGAUACAAAAAUAACACAAAAAAGACACAAAAAUGUUACAAAAAUGACACAAAAAUGAUACAAAAUGAUUUAAAAAUACCACAAAAAUGACACAAAAAUGACACAAAAAUGAAUCGAAAAUUACACAAAAAUGGCACAAAAAUUACAAAAAAAUGACACAAAAUUAACACAAAAAUGACACAAAAUUGAUACAAAAAUGACACAAAAAUGACACAAAAAUUACAUAAAAAUUGCACAAAAUUGACACAAAAAUGACACAAAAAUGACACAAAAGUGACACAAAAAUUACACAAAAUUGACACAAAAAUGACACAAAAAUGUUACAGACAUGACACAAAAAUGGCACAAAAAUGACACGAAAAUGACACAAAAAAGUUACAAAAAUGACACACAAACGACACGAAAUGGCACAAAAAUGACACAAAACUGUCACGAAAAUGACACGAAAAUGACACAAAAUGACACAAAAUGACACAAAAAUGACAUAAAAAUGACACAAAAUUGACACAAGAAUGACACAAAAAUGACACAAAAUGACACAAAAUGACACAAAGAUGACACAAAAAUGACACAAAAAUGACACAAAAAUGACACAAAAAUGACACAAAAAUGACACAAAAAUGACACAAAAAUGACAUAAAAAUUACACAAAAAUGACACAAAAAUGACACAAAAAUGACACAAAAAUGACACAAAAAUGUUACAGACAUGACACAAAAAUGACACAAAAAUAACACGAAAAUGACACAAAAAAGUUACAAAAAUGACACACAAAUGACACAAAAUGGCACAAAAAUGACACAAAACUGUCACGAAAAUGACACAAAAUGACACAAAAAUGACACAAAAAUGGCACAAAAGUGACACAAAAAUGUCACAAGAAUGACACAAAAAUGACAUAAAAAUGACACAAAAUUGACACAAGAAUGACACAAAAAUGACACAAAAUUACACAAAGAUGACACAAAAAUGACACAAAAAUGGCACAAAAAUGGCACAAAAACUGACACCAAAAUGACACCAAAAUGACACCAAAAUGACACCAAAAUGACACCAAAAUGACACAAAAGUGAUAAAAAUGUGACAAAAAUGUGACACAUAAGUGACACAAAAAUGUCAAAAAAUUACACAAAAAGUACACGAAAAUGGCACGAAAUGACGCGCAAAUGACACGAAAAUGACACAAAAAUGUUACAAAAAAUGUUACAAACAUGUUACAAAAAUGUUACAAAAUGACACAAAAAUGACACGAAAACGACGAGAAAACGACACGAAUAUGACACAAAAAUAACACGAAAAUGACACGAAAAGGACACGAAAAUGACACAAAAAUGUCACAAAAAUGACACGAAAAUGACUUAAAUUACAAAAAUGACAAAAAUAAUAUUAAUGACUGUUGGAAACUGGUUGCACUGGAGUUUGGCGGCGACGCUUCAUCGGUGUUGCGGAUUCUUCAGCGUCGCGACAUAUGAGAUUUUGACGUCUCUUCAAGACAUUUCACAUCCGGUUGUAAACUAGAUUAGAAGCUAGAGUUCCUGAAAUUAGAAAGCCUAAAAUUAUUAUUAUCCUUCCACAAAGUUAUACUUACCUUCAUGUUAUACUUACCUUCAAGUUAUACUUACUCCUAGUUAUACUUACCUCCAAGUUGUUGUGCUAAGAUAGCUACUCGUAGCUUAUUUAUCCGGGACUGAACCAGCAAAUAUUCCGCGAGCAGUAUACCAGGUUUGACUCAUACUUACCACAUGUAAACGUAGAGAUUUAUUCGUAAUUCUAAUCUAUAGCCACUGGAAAGUUCGGAUAAAACCGUUAGGAGAAAACCCGUUUCGGUAGUUGAAAAGAACAAGCGAUAUAAGCGCACUAAAUUUGUAAGUGUUAAAUAGUACUUUCUGCUUAAACCUACUUUACUUAAAAUAACCUUAAAAUAAAUUGCAGCUUGAAGCUGUCGUUGACAAGCUAUCUAGAUUGGUGAACCUUUUUUUCAAUACCGGAACAAUCUUCAAGAAAUUUACGGUCGACACCGCGAGAAUGGCAGCUGUUGACAAAAACGCGCCUUCGCCUGCGACAGAUACCGAAGGAACAUCUAGCUGUGUAGCUUGCGAUAAGCCGGACGGCGCUGGGAACCUUGUCCAGUGUGACCAAUGCGACGAUUGGUGGCAUCAAUCUUGCGCUGGUGUCACGGGGUCCAUCAAAAGCAAGCCGUGGACUUGCCGUAAGUGUGUUCCAGCUCCUAGUAUCGCGAGUAGCACCACCACAACCAGUUCACACAAACGCAUUCAACUAAAACUAGAGAAGCUGGCUGAAAAGCGCGCUCUAGAGCAAAAAGCUCUAAAGGUUAAACUGGAUGCAAUCCAUGCCGAACAGCAGAUGGUUGAUGAGAAGUACAAACUUCUCCAAGCAGCUGUCGAAGAUCCGGAAGAAAACGGCAGCCAUCGAAGUCGGGUAACUAAAAGAAGCAGUCUUCAACGAACCGUUGAUUGGCUCGACCAAAUCUCAGAGCCCGAGAACGACGUGUGCGAUGUCAUUGGGCUCGAAUCCGAAAUCAGUCCUACGAUUCCACAACAUCCACCAAAUUCUUUUGCCACUCUUCCACCCGUCCGAGCAGCAGGAAUGCAUUCCGGAACCACGCCCAAACUAAAUCCAACCAACAAAAGCGGAAGGGGAGGACAUUCGAGGAAAUUGAUAUCAACAUCGAAUGCUGACGUGCAACACAUCGAGCAGCUGCAGAAAAAACGCGCCGGUUUAAAACAGCAUCCGAACGCUGGGUUACCAUCUGCCUUUCCUCUCCCGGAGUUCAGAGCAGAUCAACAGGAAAAUUAUUUUGUCCCCAACGUCAUCAUCGAAGACGGAGAAACCGAACAGCCUUCCCCUCCGACCAAGUAUACCUCCAACCAACACCAACAAGGUAAGCCCGUUCCAUCUACUGAUUUGAAUUGCCAACCAAUGUCUCCCAUAACAAAUAUAGACCAUUAUGAGUCCCUGAUAAGCCAAUUUGGACACAUGUCGCCAAGUGAAUCAAAUAUAGCCCAAUUUAUGACUGACUAUAAACCCACUCCCUCUCAACUUGCUGCUCGCCAGACCAUGAAUCGUGACCUCCCUACCUUCACUGGGAACCCGGCAGAAUGGCCUAUGUUUAUAAGCAUUUUCACAACCACAACAUUGGCCUGUGGUUUCAAUAAAGCCGAAAAUCUUUUACGCCUUCAGCGAUGCUUAAAAGGCGCAGCUCUUGACUCGGUCCGGAGUCGCCUUAUGAUGCCGAAUUCCGUUCCGAGUAUUAUUGAUACACUCCGAAGCUUUUAUGGAAGGCCUGAGUUAUUAAUUAACGAUAUGCUAGCCAAAAUUCGUUCUAUUCCCCCACCUAAAAAUGAGAAACUUGAAUCGUUAAUUGAAUUCGGCAUUAUCGUCCAGGGUUUUUGUGAUCACCUCAAAGCUGCGAAUCAAGAGAAUCACCUGUCAAAUCCGUCACUACUUUCUGAAUUAGUACAACGUUUACCUGAUAAUUACAAGAUGCAGUGGGCGGAUUAUAGUGUAGUGAAAAGUGAUGUUGAUUUGCAUGAUUUUGGAGAAUUUAUGAAUAAAUUGAUUACCUCCGCCAGUCGUGUUACCUUGUACACGGGACCAACCGGUAGAUCGGAAGAUCGUAGCAAACCGAAGCGCGGUUUGCUUCAUGCGCACGUGGACGUCCGUCAAACAACUAGCCGAGUUCUGACAUGCGUUGCAUGUGAUGGGGAUCAUCGUCUCAAGGAUUGUGCGGAAUUUGCAUCGUUCAACAUAAACAACCGUUGGCAGCUGGUACUCAAAGAAGGACUUUGCAGGAACUGUCUUAAUUUCCAUGGUCGUCGUUCCUGUCGAGUGCGUGGUCAAUGUGAUGUGAACGGUUGCCAGCAGCGACAUCAUCCUCUUCUACAUUCCCCUCGAACCCCUCCUCCUUCUAGUGAUGCUUCGAAUAAUUUUGUAAACCAUCAUACCGUUACGUCAGCUGAAAAUCACUCACAUCGGAGUUCGACCUCAUCUCAUCUUUUCCGUAUUUUGCCGAUCACGGUGUAUGGAAGCGGAAACCGAAAGCUAGAUACUUAUGCCUUUUUGGAUGAGGGCUCAUCUCUUACACUCAUGGAAGAGGCGUUAGCUCAUGAGCUUGGAAUCCAAGGUGAUCCUCAAGUUCUCUGCUUAAAAUGGACUGGAAACGUGACCCGAACCGAACGCAGUUCACAAAAAAUUGAAUUAAAAAUAUCCGGAAUUAAUCUUGCUAAAUAUCAAUUACAAGAUACCAGAACGGUAAAAGCUUUGACACUUCCGCAACAGUCAUUGCAAUUUGAUUCACUGUCAACAAUGUUCCACCAUCUACAAGGUCUACCAAUCUCAAGCUAUACUCAUGCAGUGCCCCGAAUUUUAAUUGGAGUUAAUAAUAUCCGGUUGACAGUUCCUCUUCGAGUUAAAGAAGGCAAGCUCAACGAACCAGUUGCUACCAAGACACGCCUUGGUUGGUGUGUUUAUGGGGGAACAGUCGAUGUAAUAGAAAAAUCAACAGUGAAUCUUCAUACAUGCGUGUGCAUAACCGAUCGAACACUCCAUGAUACGGUAAAAGAUUACUUCGCAUUAGAAGAUACUGGUAUUGCGGCUUCAAAAAUGUUAGAAUCGGCAGAUGAUAUCAGAGCAAAUAAGAUUCUGGAAGAAUCAACUAUUCGCGUUGGCCAACGUUUUCAGACCGGUCUACUAUGGAAAUACGAUCCUGACCUAAUUGAGUUUCCGGACAGUUUUCCUAUGGCCAUGAAACGAUUCGAAUGUCUCGAAAGAAAGCUGGAAAAAAACCUGAAAAUAAAACAAACAAUUGAACAACAAAUUAAAGAUUAUGUAGCAAAAGGAUACGCUCGUCGAGCUACUACAGAUGAACUUGAAAAUAGCGAUCCUCGGAAAGUAUGGUACUUACCGUUGGGUGUAGUAGUGAAUCCCAAGAAACCGGGAAAAGUACGUAUGGUUUGGGAUGCAUCUGCCAUGGUAAAAGGAGUGUCGUUAAAUACAAUGUUGUUAAAGGGACCUGAUCAGCUCGUUGCAUUACCAAGAGUUCUUUUUCGAUUUCGCCAGUUCGCUAUUGCAGUAACGGGCGAUAUAGCAGAAAUGUAUCACCAGAUUCUUAUCCGCCCCCAAGAUCAACAAUCUCAACGAUUUCUUUGGCGAUCAGUCCCGAACAAAAAUCUAGAAGUUUUCGUUAUGCAGGUAGCGACGUUUGGAUCCACUUGUUCUCCUGCAUCCGCCCAAUACGUCAAAAACCGGAAUGCCAUGGAGUUUUCUGAGAAAUAUCCCCGAGCUGCAGAAGAGAUUAUAGAUGGUCACUAUGUAGAUGACUAUAUGGGAAGCUUCGCCAGUAAAGAAGAAGCCAAAAAAGUUGCUGUUGAAAUACGUGAUGUUCAUGCUCAUGGUGGAUUCAAAAUACGAGACUGGAAGUCAAACUGCCCCGAAGUUAUCGAUGUACUGGAGAAACAAACAAUCAGCAAUCCGUCGUGCAUUGGGAUCAACUCGACAAGUAGCGAGAAGGUGUUAGGCAUGCAAUGGUUCUCCGGAGAAGAUCUCCUAGCCUACAGCACCUCUUUUCAACAAGAUUUGCAGAAGCUUAUCACUAGCAAAAAUAGACCUACAAAGCGUCAAGUUCUCAAAUUUCUGAUGAGUGUGUUUGAUCCUCUGGGGCUUUUAGCAGCGUUCGUGGUGCAAGGGAAAGUGUUGUUGCAAGACAUCUGGCGUGCUGGGACCAAAUGGGAUGAAGAAAUCGACGACCAAGGUUAUGCGAAGUGGAUACGAUGGACUGACCUCUUCAAAGUGAUAGCGGACCUAAGAAUCCCCAGGUGUUAUUAUCCCGGUGCAACAGCUCAACAGUACAAGUAUUUAGAACUCCACGUAUUUGCUGAUGCAAGCGAAGACGCUUAUGCUGCAGUUGCCUUCUUCCGUAUUCCUGUUUCCGACGAAUCUUUCCAGUGCUCCUUGGUUGCGGCUAAGACAAAAGUAGCCCCUCUGAAACACUGCUCCAUCCCUCGUUUAGAACUGCAGGCCGCCGUUCUCGCAACACGUUUAGCAACAUUCAUCAAAGAGGGGCAUACUUUGACAAUACACAAAACAGUCUUCUGGUCAGAUUCAAGCACAGUUUUGGCAUGGAUACGCUCCGAUCAUCGGCGUUAUAAACAGUUUGUUGCCUGUCGUGUUUCUGAGGUCUUAACAACAACUACGAUCUCUGACUGGCGGUGGAUAUCGACGAAACUAAACGUAGCAGAUCUAGCGACAAAAUGGGGUCAAGGAGGCCAACUGAAUACAAACAGCUCAUGGUUUCAGGGUCCCGAGUUCUUGAAAUUAGGUGAAAAGUAUUGGCCUAGACCAAAAUCAAUCUUAGCUACCAACGAAGAGAUGAAACUUUGUGGAAUACAUCAUGGUAUUACUGUUCCGGUACCGGUGAUUGACCCUUCACGUUUUUCACGGUGGACUAGGAUGGUAAGAGUGACGGCGUACGUUUUACGGUACUUUAACAACGUUCAAAAGAAAAGAUCAAAGCUGGAUAGUUCUUAUCUCACUCAAGAUGAAUUGCAGGAGGCUGAAAAUUACCUUUUUCGCAUUUCACAAUGGGAGGCUUUUCCAGAAGAUAUGUCAGUACUGCUGUCGACUACCAAUGUUGGUGUAGAAAAGAACAGUCCUUUGUACAAGUUAUCCCCUUACUUAGAUGAGCACGGAGUGCUCAGAGUGGACGGUCGAAUAGGAGCGGCUAGGAACGUUGAAGAGAGAACCAAGUUUCCAGUAAUCCUGUGCAAGCAACAUCGGGUUACCGAUCUCCUGAUCGAUUACUAUCAUAGUAAAUAUCAUCACGCAAACUUUGAAACUGUAGUGAACGAAAUAAGACAAUUUUUCUACAUCCCUCAAAUACGAUCGCGAGCCAAGAAAAUCGUAAAACAUUGUCAAUGGUGCAAAGUGUACAAAGCACGCCCUCAAGUUCCCAGAAUGGCACCGCUUCCUGAAGCAAGAUUAGCAUCAUUUACCCGACCCUUUAGCUAUGUUGGGCUAGAUCUUUUCGGACCGGUUUCUGUUAAAGUUGGUAGAAGCGCAGUGAAGCGAUGGGUAGCCUUGUUCACGUGCUUAACCAUACGCGCAGUACAUGUGGAGGUUGUGUACGGUCUGGACACUCAAUCGUGCAUCAUGAGUAUCCGUCGGUUUGUCGCUCGUCGUGGCUCUCCGCUAGAAUUUCAUUCAGAUAACGGCACAAACUUUCGAGGUGCAGAUAACAUACUACAGAAUCAGAUACGUAACAUUCAAGAAGGACUGGCGUCAACGUUCACAAAUACCGUAACGAAGUGGAUUUUUAUUCCUCCUGGAACCCCGCACAUGGGAGGCUCCUGGGAGCGUAUGGUGCGCUCGGUAAAAACAGCGAUGUACUCAAGUAUUGAAGCCGGACGGAAGUUGACCGACGAAGCUCUAUUGACCCUGCUGGUUGAAGCCGAAAGCAUAGUAAACUCAAGACCACUGACGUAUCUUCCGUUGGAGGCUCCAGAGAGUGAAGCUCUUACUCCAAAUCACCUUUUGCUUGGUAGCUCUAGCGGCAUAAAACAACCUGGAAUAGAACCGGUGGAUGAAAGAUUGGCGCUCAAGAACUCCUGGUAUCAAAUUCAACAUCAAGCUGAUAUCUUCUGGCGUCGUUGGACUCGUGAAUAUCUUCCGGAACUGACUCGCCGAACAAAAUGGCUGGGAGAAUCGCGUCCAGUUAUUGAAGGAGAUUUGGUCAUAAUCGUAGACGAUGGAAAAAGAAAUGGUUGGAUACGGGGUAAAGUCAUAAAGGUCAUAUCCGGGCAAGACGGGCGAGUUAGAAGGGCUUUGAUUCAUACUCAUAAAGGGAUCUCUAAACAAUCAGUCUCAAAGUUGGCAAUUCUAGAUGUGGCUCCAGAGAGUAACACAGGAUCUGCUUGACCUGUGUUACGGGGGGGAGGCUGUUGGAAACUGGUUGCACUGGAGUUUGGCGGCGACGCUUCAUCGGUGUUGCGGAUUCUUCAGCGUCGCGACAUAUGAGAUUUUGACGUCUCUUCAAGACAUUUCACAUCCGGUUGUAAACUAGAUUAGAAGCUAGAGUUCCUGAAAUUAGAAAGCCUAAAAUUAUUAUUAUCCUUCCACAAAGUUAUACUUACCUUCAUGUUAUACUUACCUUCAAGUUAUACUUACUCCUAGUUAUACUUACCUCCAAGUUGUUGUGCUAAGAUAGCUACUCGUAGCUUAUUUAUCCGGGACUGAACCAGCAAAUAUUCCGCGAGCAGUAUACCAGCCACUGGAAAGUUCGGAUAAAACCGUUAGGAGAAAACCCGUUUCGGUAGUUGAAAAGAACAAGCGAUAUAAGCGCACUAAAUUUGUAAGUGUUAAAUAGUACUUUCUGCUUAAACCUACUUUACUUAAAAUAACCUUAAAAUAAAUUGCAGCUUGAAGCUGUCGUUGACAAGCUAUCUAGAUUGGUGAACCUUUUUUUCAAUACCGGAACAAUGACACAAAAAUUAAACCAUUCAAAGUUGGCAUAAGACUGUCAUAUAUGACUUACAGAAUGACAAAGCAAUUACUCAAAAAUUACAAAACAGCUACCCAAAAAAAGCACAAAAAUGACAAAUAAGUGGUACAAAGAUGACACAUAAGUUGAAAAAAAAACUCAGAAAAAUGACACAGAAGUGACAAUAAAAAUUACCAUUAAGUAAUACAAAAAUUUCACAGAACUAACUAAAAAUUGCACAAAAAUUCACCUGAAUUUUCUUCAAAAGCCUCGAAAAUGACACAAAAAUUAUUUUAAAAUAACUUUACUGCCGUUCUACGCAAGAAUGUCCCAUGUGACUUUUGGGUCAUUUUCACUUUUUUGCUAGGAACUGCUUAUUAUGGUGUUAUCUUUCGAAUACAAACACAAAAAAGUAUACUUUGUUCUGAACAUCUACGAAAUUUUCAUCUAGGUGGUUGUCUCUAUGUUGAUGUUUCUACGCAAGAAUGUCCCACUGAGAAAAACUCUUCAAAAACCACUCGACUGUAACAGAAUUCCUCAAAAAUUGCUUUAGUGACACAUUGUACUGUAAUGUUGAACGUUAAAUGUAUUUUUUUAUGAAUGAAGGUCACAGGGAUGGACAAGGGAGAGGGGGUCACUUCAGUGAAAGCUUUUUCUCCACUUCCGGUUCAGAUCCAUAAUUUUGUCUUAUUUUUGGUUCCUCAUAAUAAGCAUAUUUUCGGAUACUUGUAGUAUUUUUUGGCCUACGUUAUCGAAGCUCCAGAAUGUGUUUUUCAAAUGAGCUCGAUCAUCCCAGCUAACAUGGUUAUGGCAAUGCUUCCAGCAUCCACAGGAAAACAAUUAAUCGAUGCGCAAUAAUGCGCUUCCGCGAAGAAUCUUCCUUGAUUAUUUCAUUCAUAGUUCUAAAAAAAAGUUUAAAAAAAACUUAAAUCGGAUUCAUUCGGAUCAUCCUUAAACUUAGAAAAAAACAUCUUAAGAACCGUUCUGAUCCAAUUCUGAUUUCGGUGUCAUUGAAUCCGAGGAAAUCGUAAUUACUGUCUGUCACUGUUCUCUAAACUUGACUCCAAACCGUAAACCUUCAGCAUCGAUAAUGCACUCAUCUUAUCUAUAGUUUUGAACGCUCAAUUAUGAUUUUUUCCGAAACACUUUAAAAUCCUUCCCGUUUCCGCACAAUAACAUAGAAGAAAAAAGAGCUCGUGUGACAGUUUUUCCAUAGAAACAAAAAAACACACGCUCAUAUUCUACGCAAAAGUGUCACACGAGGCGAUUUUUGACGAGUAUCUUCUGCUUUGAGGAAAAAAAUCAAAAAGUAAGUAUAGAUUCCAAUGUAAAUUGACCAACAACAAAAACAAUAUGCAUGAAAGGUGCGGAAGAGCCAUAAAUUUAACGAAAAUCCGAAAAACAGAUCUAAAUUUCAAUCGCGUUUUUCUCGCUUGCUCGUUUUUCCACAUGGGACAAUCUUGCUUAGAAGGGCAGUUUAGUUUAACAAAAAAUUAAACAAAAAUUUCACAAAGAUUACCAAAAAAAUGACACAUAAUCGACAAAAAACAGCACAAAAAUACCAAAUAAGAAACAUCAAUCUACAAGAAAACGGGUUAAAAAUGAAAGUUCUUGACAGUGCUGUCAGUCAAUCUGGCUUAAUUUGACUCACAAUAUCUAGAGCAACUUAAUCUGCAUUUUUUUUAAAUCUUUUUCCAAUUUUUCUAGUAUUAUGAUGACUGAAAAAACUCACCAUUACCCAUUCGUUAAAGUGUAACGAUUAAUCGGUACGGCACAAUUAACUUUUGCCUAUCGGAGUCUUUUUUUUUUCAUUUCUGUUUUCCAAAACCAAAAAAAGAACACGCGUGAGCGGUGUUAAUUUUUCCGCCAUUAAUUUUCGUUGUUACUACGCUGCUGAGUUGUAUUACAUUCGGGGCUGUGCUGUCGAUUUCCCCGUUUAACGUUUUUUAAUGCGAAGGUUAAACCGACUCUGUGAAUGUACCCAUGGUUGUUAUUUUUUCGUUCGCUCUGCUAACAGCGCAAAAACCUUAUGUUAUCACCGGUUCAAUUGGUGUUGGGCCUGCCGCCAUCGCAUUGUUUGUGGUAAUUUGAACAGAUUUUGUUGCGUUUAUUCGCUUUUUUCUGUCUUCAGUGAUUUGCUGCUUCGGUACUUUUGUACGAAAGAAUGGAACCUGUCUAGCGGCAUGAAUCGACCUUAUGUGCGUGUUGUUUUUUUCUCAUUUUCUCUUUGGAACGAUUUUAUUUACCAGUAGUUUAAUCAACCAAAAUAAGCGGCUAUCGAUGGGUUGAUGUUAACUAUUUUCUGAAGGAAAUUCGGUUUCCGCUGUUGAAAAACUUCCAAAGGACUCGGAAAACCUUUUUGGAAUGAGUUUCUGAAAAUCGAAAGUUCGAAUAGUAAAACCUUUAUCAACAUCGAACACAGGCCUUCAGGGAAGGCUGAAUCAUAAGAUCGAAACGUCGAGUCAAUUCAGCCCUUGAUACUUUUUGUACUCGAAAUUAAAAGCUUGGUUUUAAACUCUUAUCAGAAUUUUUGUUUCGAUUUUUUAUUCCAAUUAAUGCCUCUAACUUACAGUAGUGUUUACUGAGUUUUCUCAAUUUUUCAUUGGAAAAAAGGCGUCACCUGAUUUGACACAAAUGACAAAAACAAAUUCUCCGAAAUGGGAUCAUAAUAUGGAAUUCAACUCGAGCUCUCUCUUUGCUUUUUUACAUUUCUUACCUCCCUUUUUAUUCUUUAGUAUCAAAUCCAGAAAUCGAAACUACCAUUCCAUUCACUUCAAAUGCAGAAAAAAAUUCCGGAAAUGAUUUUUAAAUCGAUUUCCGGCUGCUCGAUACCAUUUUUAGCUUUCCAAGCUUUUAUUUUCCAAUCGAUUGAACUCUUCCGCUUUACGAGGAAGUCUGUGUUUGAUGGGUUAAAAUAGAUAUCCCUGAUUAUGAAUAAACCGAACACAGAAGGAGCAUUAAAUUUACUACCAACAAAAAUCUCAAUCGAUUAUUAUCAAAGCAUCACGUUUUUCCAUAAGAGAAAAGAACAGGAAUUUUUUCCUGUAGCGAUAGAAACAUCAGCAUCAGGAGAAUUCCAAAAACAAUUAAAUAUAACUUUUAUUUUGUUUCGAUUAAAGUCGUUUUACAAUCAAAUAAAUAUAAAUAUAACGAGAACCCAGA
Molecule: RNA transcript, 12025 nt
Organism: Uranotaenia lowii
Lineage: Eukaryota; Metazoa; Arthropoda; Insecta; Diptera; Culicidae
Exons: 2
Source: RefSeq, a predicted model, not a curated record